UACCCUCGUGGGGGAAUAAUGCUUCUUUUAGAAUGCUAGGAGAAGACAAGCUCAGGAAGAGUGAACAGUAGCUAAUAUCAGGCAGCUUUUGUGUCUGUGGCACUCAGGUUUGAAAGCUGCAAAAUUGCUCUUCUCACACGGUCCCAACUGAAAGGGCAGUCAGUCCAGUCUGUGUGCUCAUUUCUCAGAUGAGGAACCCCAGGCCUGGGGAAGGAUGGUGAUGGGCCCAAGAUCAGACAGAAAGUCCAAAGAUAAUAGGAAGAAAGUGGGAGACAACAAUCAGAGAACGGGGACUCUACGGGAGGGUGUCCUUGCAAGAAAUUGACCUCCUUCCCCAGCAACCAAACAGCAAUUAUGACUGACCAGCCAACCCGAAACGCGUCCUGCUUUUAUGAAUUUCCAAUCAAUACCUAAAAUGCCAGAAGUUUCUUUUGAAAUUUAAAAGAAGAGAAAGAGGGAGGGAGGAAGAAAAGAAGAAAUCCAAACAGUGGACAAAAACCAGGCGCUGCGGCCCCCACUCCAGCUUGAGAAGCGGCAACAAUGGUGAGAAAUCAAUGCCCAGAACCACAAGGCAGCUUUCAGACACCUCUUGACCUUGUCACUUCCUGGGUAAUUAAGAGGCACUACAGUUCCGUGUCACUGUCAGGGGCUGAAUGUAUAUCGAUAGACAGAUAUAUAUGCUCUUAAAAGAUUCUUUUUCUACAGCCUUGGUCAGGAUCCUGCCAAAGAAAAGGGGGAAAAGAAAAGCAUUUUGUCCAGAGCGCACUCAAAGAAACAUGAAAGGAGAAACCUAAAUUUUUCAGCACAGUCUGCCUCUGACAUGGGAAAAUGGCGCA
Talpa occidentalis (Iberian mole) is the source of this 836-nucleotide long non-coding RNA. RefSeq lists it as uncharacterized. The transcript has 4 exons. NCBI's taxonomy places the organism in Eukaryota, Metazoa, Chordata, Mammalia, Eulipotyphla, Talpidae. The record is from RefSeq and is a predicted model, not a curated record.